GACGAACGCUGGCGGCGUGCCUAAUACAUGCAAGUAGAACGCUUAAGAGAGGAGCUUGCUCUUCUUGGAUGAGUUGCGAACGGGUGAGUAACGCGUAGGUAACCUGCCUUGUAGCGGGGGAUAACUAUUGGAAACGAUAGCUAAUACCGCAUAACAAUGGAUGACACAUGUCAUUUAUUUGAAAGGGGCAAUUGCUCCACUACAAGAUGGACCUGCGUUGUAUUAGCUAGUAGGUGAGGUAACGGCUCACCUAGGCGACGAUACAUAGCCGACCUGAGAGGGUGAUCGGCCACACUGGGACUGAGACACGGCCCAGACUCCUACGGGAGGCAGCAGUAGGGAAUCUUCGGCAAUGGGGGCAACCCUGACCGAGCAACGCCGCGUGAGUGAAGAAGGUUUUCGGAUCGUAAAGCUCGGUUGUAAGUCAAGAACGAGUGUGAGAGUGGAAAGUUCACACUGUGACGGUAGCUUACCAGAAAGGGACGGCUAACUACGUG
RNAcentral lists this ribosomal RNA (497 nucleotides) under uncultured bacterium. Its description in RNAcentral is "partial 16S ribosomal RNA". It matches the Rfam family "Bacterial small subunit ribosomal RNA", at positions 28 to 507 of the family's 1533-position model. The record is from RNAcentral.